RNAcentral lists this long non-coding RNA (1405 nucleotides) under Jatropha curcas. RNAcentral describes it as "long non-coding RNA (JCUR_LNC000422)". Lineage: Eukaryota; Viridiplantae; Streptophyta; Magnoliopsida; Malpighiales; Euphorbiaceae. The record is from RNAcentral.
CGAAAAAAAACUCGAAAACCAAGCAAAUUGAGCCAAAUCAUAGAAUUAGACCAAACCGGUUCGAAUCGAACCGGAAUGGUCUAGAAGCCCCAAGAUUUUUUUUCUUUUCUUUUCUUUUCCUUUUUCUUUUUCCUUUUUUUCUUUUCCUUCUUUUUUUUCCCUUCUUCUUCCUUGCGCCAGCGCCAGGCGCACGACCUCCUCCUCCUCUUCUUUUUCCGACCACCGAAGACCAGGCCGUGCCUCCUCGCCAUCGCCUCCUCGCCGCAGCGAUUUCGGCCUUCUUCCUCCCCUCUCUUUCUUUGCUGGCGUACGCAACAGGCACUGGAGAGUCGCGACUUCCUUCGAUCGGGAAAUCGGGUCGAGCCUCCUGCUCCUUGACUUUCCAGCGACGCCGGCUUCUUUCUCGUCGACGAAGAAGCUCCGGUCCUGUCUCUCCUUCACUCUCUCCUUCACGUUUCGGCUGGCGCAGUGAACCAAAAAAAAUAAAAAUAAAAAAAAAAUAAAAGCUGCGAUCGCAAUUCGCAGUUGCGUUAUCUGCUCUCCUCUUCGAUUUUCCGGCAAGACCCACCACCAGCUAGCAGAACCAGCUCCUCCCUCGCUGUCAUCUUUUUACCCCACGUCACUGUUCCUUCCUCCGGCCAAAUUAGCGACGGCAGAAUCAGACUUUGCUCAUUGGAGCUGUUUCCGGUCACUUUUAUCCAAAAUAUUCAGUUUUUCGGUAUUUUCGCAACUGUAUAAGCAAUUUCCAACCUUUCUUUUAGUAAUGUAUGUUGUUUUUCGAAUUUGAUAGAAGGAUUGAGCAUAAAUCAAAGUUUAUGAAGGGAUUUUUAUUUCUAGCUUUUAUUCAUACUAUUUUAUUAGAGAAAUUUAAUUCUUCAUACUAAAUUUAGGCUAUAACUAAUUUAAUGAGCAAUUUAGUACAAUUAGGAUUAACUUCUCAAGUAAUGUUAAAAAUUACUUAGAUGAUUAUGGCUAUGAAUCAUGAUAUUGGAGGAAAAACUAGGUGCAAAGCUAAUGUUGAACAAAAUUCUAGGAGAAGUAUUUAUAUUGUUAUGCAAUUGAAGCUAUGAGUUGAAUCCUUAUAAAGUAAAGGUUAGAUUAUUGUUACAAUUGCUUCCGCAUUAUUAUAUUACUUGAACCUUGGGAAUGAUGGGAUGAGAAUUGAUGCGAUAAAUAAAUUUCUUGCCGAAUGGCGAAUUUGUUAGCAUGUAGGUUGUAGGUUUGAUUAGAAACUUGAUUUUUUGUAUUAGUACAAAGAAAGAAAGACACGAAUAAGUAUAUGCACGACUUAUGAGGUAUAUUCAUAUAAGUGUGUAGGAAGAGUUUAAGCUUGAAGUCUUAAAUGCCUAGGUACCAAUGAAAAGAUAUGGAAUAAGAAUUAAUCGUGAAAGUUAAUUAUGCACAN